GCGUUUACCACGGUGUGAUUCAUGACUGGGGUGAAGUCGUAACAAGGUAACCCUAGGGGAACCUGGGGUUGGAUCACCUCCUUACCUUAA
This 90-nucleotide ribosomal RNA is filed under the name Aeromonas veronii. RNAcentral describes it as "partial 16S ribosomal RNA". It matches the Rfam family "Bacterial small subunit ribosomal RNA", at positions 1450 to 1533 of the family's 1533-position model. The record is from RNAcentral. Lineage: Bacteria; Pseudomonadati; Pseudomonadota; Gammaproteobacteria; Aeromonadales; Aeromonadaceae.